RNAcentral lists this long non-coding RNA (278 nucleotides) under Cricetulus griseus (Chinese hamster). RNAcentral describes it as "lncRNA (ENSCGRG00000024250.1)". Lineage: Eukaryota; Metazoa; Chordata; Mammalia; Rodentia; Cricetidae. The record is from RNAcentral.
GGUUCUGGAGCACACCCCCAGGCCCUGCUCACCAAUUCUAGUCAUGAUGCUUUCUUCUGGAAGUUUCUGUGGGUUAUUACCUACAGUCAUUUUACUUCUGAGAACUGCCAUGACGAAUGGUUGGGACUCCUCGGAGGAGGCCAGAUCUGGAACCAACACCACCAGUGCUGUGCUGAGGAAUGAAGAGUGAAAAGUGGCUCAUUGUUUGAGCCCUGACCCAAGCUGUGUGAGCUCCCCCCUUUUUUAUUACAACAGUCAAUAAAUUACUUUUUCCUGCU